GUACACACCGCCCGUCACACCAUGGGAGUGGGUUUCACCAGAAGUAGGUAGCCUAACCGCAAGGAGGCAGGCGACCACGGUAGGGUCAGCGACUGGGGUGAAGUCGUAACAAGGUAGCCGUAGGUGAACCUGCAGAAGGAUCA
RNAcentral lists this ribosomal RNA (143 nucleotides) under uncultured eukaryote. RNAcentral's name for it is "partial small subunit ribosomal RNA". It matches the Rfam family "Bacterial small subunit ribosomal RNA", at positions 1383 to 1525 of the family's 1533-position model. The record is from RNAcentral.